This 109-nucleotide small nucleolar RNA is filed under the name Leishmania major strain Friedlin. RNAcentral describes it as "Leishmania major sRNA LMJF_14_snoRNA0001". Lineage: Eukaryota; Euglenozoa; Kinetoplastea; Trypanosomatida; Trypanosomatidae. The record is from RNAcentral.
CUCCAUGACGACACACCACUAUUUGCACGUCAGUUUGACUUAUAAUUUACUCGGCAUGAUACAAGCAUAGCUGUCCCACCCCCACCCACACGCACAUGCACUCACACUC